Molecule: ribosomal RNA, 394 nt
Filed under: uncultured bacterium
Lineage: Bacteria
Description: bacterial SSU rRNA
Rfam family: Bacterial small subunit ribosomal RNA
Source: RNAcentral
AGUGAACGCUGGCGGCAUGCCUAACACAUGCAAGUCGAACGGUAACAGGCCCGCAAGGGUGCUGACGAGUGGCGGACGGGUGAGGAAUACAUCGGAAUUUGCCCAGUCGUGGGGGAUAACGUAGGGAAACUUACGCUAAUACCGCAUACGACCUAACGGUGAAAGCGGGGGACCUGCAAGGGCCUCGCGCGGAUGGAUAAGCCGAUGUCGGAUUAGCUAGUUGGCGGGGUAAGAGCCCACCAAGGCGACGAUCCGUAGCUGGUCUGAGAGGAUGAUCAGCCACACUGGGACUGAGACACGGCCCAGACUCCUACGGGAGGCAGCAGUGGGGAAUAUUGGACAAUGGGGGCAACCCUGAUCCAGCAAUGCCGCGUGUGUGAAGAAGGCCUGGUGU